CGCACAGGUGCUGCAUGGCUGUCGUCAGCUCGUGUCGUGAGAUGUUGGGUUAAGUCCCGCAACGAGCGCAACCCUUGUCAUUAGUUGCUACGAAAGGGCACUCUAAUGAGACUGCCGGUGACAAACCGGAGGAAGGUGGGGAUGACGUCAAGUCCUCAUGGCCCUUAUGGGUAGGGCUUCACACGUCAUACAAUGGUGCAUACAGAGGGCUGCCAACCCGCGAGGGGGAGCAAAUCCCAGAAAGUGCAUCGUAGUCCGGAUUGCAGUCUGCAACUCGACUGCAUGAAGUUGGAAUCGCUAGUAAUCGCGGAUCAGCAUGUCGCGGUGAAUACGUUCCCGGGUCUUGUACACACCGCCCGUCACACCAUGGGAGCGGGUUUUACCAGAAGUGGGUAGCCUAACCGCAAGGAGGGCGCUUACCACGGU
Molecule: ribosomal RNA, 426 nt
Filed under: uncultured bacterium
Lineage: Bacteria
Description: bacterial SSU rRNA
Rfam family: Bacterial small subunit ribosomal RNA
Source: RNAcentral